UCGGAACGUGCCCAGUUGUGGGGGAUAACGUAGAGAAAUUUACGCUAAUACCGCAUGAGAUCUACGGAUGAAAGCGGGGGACUCUGCAAAGAGCCUCGCGCGACUGGAGCGGCUGAUAUCAGAUUAGGUUGUUGGUGGGGUAAAGGCCUGCCAAGCCGUCGAUCUGUAGCUGGUCUGAGAGGACGACCAGCCACACUGGGACUGAGACACGGCCCAG
This 217-nucleotide ribosomal RNA is filed under the name uncultured bacterium. Its description in RNAcentral is "partial 16S ribosomal RNA". It matches the Rfam family "Bacterial small subunit ribosomal RNA", at positions 118 to 334 of the family's 1533-position model. The record is from RNAcentral.